GGUAAGCAAAAACAUUUGCAAUAUUCUAUGCAAACUGUACAUGUCUUCAUGUUAUUAACUGUCACUGAAUAUUUAUAGUGCAAAAGUUAUCCACUACUGUACAAUAUUACAAAUACAUGUUAUUCAUUUAUUUUCCUCUCUCUCUCUCUCUCUCUCUCUCUCUCUCUCUCUCUCUCUCUCUCUCUCAAACAUUUCCAUCACGACAAUGUAAAUUUAUUAACUGUAUGAAAACUUUGUUUUUUCUUUUAGAGUUUUAAAUGCAUAAAUCAUAGUCUUUCUAUAAGAAAAACUUUGCUAUUACACUCAUUCACCUGCCUCGUAGAAGUCUAGAUAAUUAAAAAAUUACAUGAGCCAUGUUUGUCAUAAAUUUAAAUUUCCUGACAUGGUUUGAUUUUUUGCUUUUCUUAAUGCCAAAGCAUCAUUGUUUGAGGUCUGAGAUUUAAUGCAACACAAAAAACAUAAAACUGAUUUAAUAAAUUUUCAAAUGUGUAACAUAAACCAUAUAUUGACAUUAAUUAUACAUAUACAGAGGAGAAACAUGUAAGAGACAGAAAGUAACUCUGAAGGUACAUACACAGUUAAAGAUUUGUCAACUGAAUUCUUAAAAUUUAUACUGAGAGAAUAACGUUCUUUACAAAAUAUUUUACAUUUCUUCAAUACUUUAGUUACAUUUACAAUAAACACACUCUUUAUGUAGCCUUCUUAAAUAAUUCAUAUCAGUAAUUGUAUAUUUUAGGCUAAAACAAAAACAUGAAGUACACAAUAGUUAAAACAAGUCUCUCUACAUUUUCAGGUGUAGAAAGUGACUGCUGACGUCUGUAUACAUAUUAUUCAUUUAUAUCUUUGAUAUAAAAUGGAUAACACUGCAGUUUACUUAGAAAUAAAGUUCCACAUAUAGGUAUGCCACAUUUUGCUGAACCAUUGUUAUUACCAAUGAAACAGUUUCUUCCAAGGGAGUUUUCGGACAAAAUCACUUAUCUGAUGUAGGCUGUUAUCGACUGAAUUUUCUGUAAAUAUGAAUACAGAGCAAUAUUAAAUAUGCUGUUGAAGUGGAAUAAGAACAAAAAUGAGUGAAGUAUGAUGACUGAAGUUGUGAUGUCAGUGCUCAGUAUUGAUGAAACACAGGAAUGCAGCAACAAGUAUAAACCAAUUUUCAAAGAGGGUGGGAACUGUUAAAGCUUUCAAGUGCUUUAAAAUACAUAGCUAUGAAAAUAUUUAUAAUAUAUGUGUAACUACAGUCUGAUAAUGAAUAAUAUCAGCUUUUUUUAUAAAAUUAUUUUAUAUGAAAUAUAACAAUCAUCGAAAUAUUUAGCUUUAACAAGACAUUCAGCACUUUACUGUCAGCAACUUAUACUUUUAUUUCUUUAUGACUUCAUAUCCAUUAACAGUUGCCCAGCAGUCAGGAAUAAUUUUUUCCACUAAUAUCCCUUACAUUUGUAAUACAAUAUCGUCCCCACCCUGCAAAAUAUUUUUUUUAUGUAUGGCUUUGCUUCUGAAAUAAUAUAUCACAAUAAUUUUAUAAAAAUGUAUAUUUCAUCAGCAUUACCAUCUUCUUCAAUAUAUAUGUCAUAAGGCAAGUUAUAUUUUUACAUUUGUGUUUUAACUGUUAUAGAAUAACAACCUUCAUCUUAAUCUUCUGUAAUUUUAACAAGCUACAUAUUCUAAUUAAAUUCGAACAGUAACAUUUAACAAUGAUCACGAAUAAAUAAGUUGGCUGGAUAGUUUAUAUUAAGCUCUACACAUUUGUCUCUGGUAUAAAAUUUUACAGCAUUUUAACAAACACAGAAAUUACAUUUCAUUUCACAGUAAGGAAAACGUAUUUUUCUCAAAAGUAGAAUAAACUUUUCAUUUGUGAUUUCUGUGAAAACAAUUGUAUCAGUUAAUAAUGAUGAUCUGUUUUUAAUUUACAAGUAAUUUUGUAAUUUUUUAAAUGUGAACUAUAAGGUCCUUCAAAUCAACAUAACACUGUUCAAAUAAUGUGUCUUUCUGUUCUUGAAAUGAAAUUUGUGAUUUCUGUUCUUACAAUUUGCUCUUUUUCAUGAGCUGGAACUCAGGGAUCUUAGUAUCAGCAGAGAAAUGGCAAAUACCAUGAUACAGUGUAGUAUCCCAACUCCAACAAAGCUUCAGAAGUAUGCAUAAUUACGUGCAUUUUGUACCUAUGACUCUAAUCAAUGAUCGAACACCUAUUUAUUAACUUACAAACCACCCAUACAUUGUUCUUUUUCAGUUAUGUCUGUUGUCCACAGUCUGUUGCAUGAGAGUUUAAUGUUGCUUUUAUUACAAAUAACUUCAGAAGAAGAUGAAUCAUCAAA
This is a long non-coding RNA of Schistocerca cancellata (South American locust), 2312 nucleotides long. RefSeq lists it as uncharacterized. Lineage: Eukaryota; Metazoa; Arthropoda; Insecta; Orthoptera; Acrididae. The transcript has 2 exons. The record is from RefSeq and is a predicted model, not a curated record.